UCACCUCUGUUAAUGUGCGAUAUCUUUGAUUUUUCAGUCUUCCAUCCCUCUCCCAGCUCCUUCUUUUCAAGAUGGUGUCUAAAGCACAAUUGGCCAUAAAGCAGAGAGGAGACACUGGGGCCCCUGGGUGCUUCUGGCCUCUGGCUUCUGUGAGGGAGGCAGAAAUGGACGUCCAAAAAUUUUAAGUACUAUGGUCCCCUCAGAGACUAAUGAAAAGCAAAUGAUGGGAAUGCAGCAAACUCUUCUGAUGCUGACCCUUUCAUGUCUUUGCACAUCAAGAAGACAAGUGCCACCGAGGGCUCUGCCCAGUUGAUUUCUGAACAUAACAGAGAUUCUCCACUGUUUGAACGUAAGCAGCACGUGCGCAGAACUGACCCUGUUUGGACUGAGGUCUCGUUGUCAACAGUGUGCUCACCAACUGACUUCACAUUUGGUUCAUUAACUUCCUUCUCCUUAUUGCAUCUUGUUGGUUGCGUGACUUCAUAUGGUGCUUUGCUUUGUGUGACACAUAUGAGGCCCCGUGAACAUGUAGUGAACAUCAUUGAGUUUGUAAUCCUGAACCUGAUUUUACUAUUGUGGGAACCUUGGCUUACGACUGAAAGAAGGUGUUAUUGUGUAAAGACACAA
Mustela erminea (ermine) is the source of this 627-nucleotide long non-coding RNA. RefSeq lists it as uncharacterized. The record is from RefSeq and is a predicted model, not a curated record. NCBI's taxonomy places the organism in Eukaryota, Metazoa, Chordata, Mammalia, Carnivora, Mustelidae. The transcript is spliced from 3 exons.